CAAUAGCGUAUAUUAAAGUUGUUGCGGUUAAAAAGCUCGUAGUUGGAUUUCUGAAUGGAUGCCGAUGCCCGCCUGUUGGCGUGUGCAAAGGUGCCCGUUCAUCCUUCUGUUAAGGUUUCUUAGUAUUCAUUUACUGGUUUCCGGCUCAGAUAUUUUACCUUGAAUAAAUUAGAGUGUUUCAGGCAAGCUUGGUCUUGAAUACAUUAGCAUGGAAUAAUAGAAUAGGACUCUAGAUCCUUUGUUGGUUUCUGGAUUUGGAGUAAUGAUUAAUAGGGAUAGUUGGGGGCAUUAGUAUUUAAUUGUCAGAGGUGAAAUUCUUGGAUUUAUUAAAGACUAACUUAUGCGAAAGCAUUUGCCAAGGAUGUUUUCAUUAA
RNAcentral lists this ribosomal RNA (374 nucleotides) under uncultured eukaryote. RNAcentral describes it as "partial 18S ribosomal RNA". It matches the Rfam family "Eukaryotic small subunit ribosomal RNA", at positions 592 to 976 of the family's 1831-position model. The record is from RNAcentral.